Molecule: long non-coding RNA, 848 nt
Organism: Syzygium oleosum
Lineage: Eukaryota; Viridiplantae; Streptophyta; Magnoliopsida; Myrtales; Myrtaceae
Exons: 3
Source: RefSeq, a predicted model, not a curated record
CCUCACGUGUUGAUAGAGAGUUGGAAAGACAAAGGUUACUCGGUGGUGUACGUGUGGAGCAGGGACAGGCCGAAGCUGUUGUUCGACACCGUGUGCGUCCUAACGGACAUGCAGUAUGUUGUGUUCCAUGCAUCAGUUAACUCGGAGGGCUCUUUGGCUAACCAGGAGUAUUUCAUAAGGCAUCAGGAUGGAUGCACCUUGGAUUCGUAGACCGAGAAGCGCAAACUCGCUCAAUGCCUCCUGGCUGCCGUCGAGCGCAGAGCGUCACAUGGAUUGAGGUUAGAAGUGAGCACUCAAAACCGGCCGGGCCUGCUCUCCGACGUGACCAGGGUGUUCCGCGAGAAUGGCCUAUCGAUAACGCGGGCCGAGGUAGGGAUCUGCGGAGAGCGGGCCAUCGGUUCGUUCUAUGUGACCGAAGCUUCCGGGAACGACGUGAACCUGAGCACAGUGGAACUGGUGAGGAAAGAGAUCGGGGGUUCGGUCUCGAUCGUGAACAAGUCCUCGGGAGUGAGUUCUCCUCAGGGUCCAUUGUCGGCAGGCCUCAUUAGCAGAAGUGGGGAUGAAAAGCCGAGGUUGUCGCUCGGAAGCCUUAUCUGGUCUCAGCUCGAGCGUUUCUCCAGCAACUUUGGACCAAUAAGGCUAUAAUGUAAGGUAAUGUUUGCUAUGGACAAGUGUGCUUAGACAUGUACUUUGUAAAUAAGGCUUGUAAGCACCUUGUCACUUGGUCAAGUAGCGAUAUGUUGUUCUUUGACAGAGUCUAGGAAUUAGCCUUUAAGAGUAGCUUUCCGUCUUCAGGUCUGUAAAAUAUCAAUGAAAUUAGUCUCUCCAGUUCAGUGUUUUCUGUGCAA